UUGCUGUUCGUUUUGCCAAAGGAACGCGA
This 29-nucleotide small RNA is filed under the name Bombyx mori (domestic silkworm). RNAcentral's name for it is "ovarian small RNA-2408". The record is from RNAcentral. Lineage: Eukaryota; Metazoa; Arthropoda; Insecta; Lepidoptera; Bombycidae.